CGUUAUCCGGAAUUAUUGGGCGUAAAGAGCUCGUAGGCGGUUUGUCGCGUCUGCCGUGAAAGUCCGGGGCUCAACUCCGGAUCUGCGGUGGGUACGGGCAGACUAGAGUGAUGUAGGGGAGACUGGAAUUCCUGGUGUAGCGGUGAAAUGCGCAGAUAUCAGGAGGAACACCGAUGGCGAAGGCAGGUCUCUGGGCAUUAACUGACGCUGAGGAGCGAAAGCAUGGGGAGCGAACAGG
RNAcentral lists this ribosomal RNA (238 nucleotides) under uncultured bacterium. RNAcentral describes it as "partial 16S ribosomal RNA". It matches the Rfam family "Bacterial small subunit ribosomal RNA", at positions 539 to 776 of the family's 1533-position model. The record is from RNAcentral.